CCGCCGCGGUAAAACCAGCUCUUCAGUGGUCGGGAUAAUUAUUGGGCUUAAAGUGUCCGUAGCCGGUUUAGUAAGUUCCUGGUAAAACCGGGCAGCUUAACUGUCCGUAUGCUAGGAAUACUGCUAUGCUAGAGGGCGGGAGAGGUCUGAGGUACUACAGGGGUAGGGGUGAAAUCUUAUAAUCCUUGUAGGACCACCAGUGGCGAAAGCGUCAGACUGGAACGCGCCUGACGGUGAGGGACGAAAGCCAGGGGAGCGAACCGGAUUAGAUACCCGGGUAGUCCUGGCCGUAAACGAUGCAUACUAGGCAAUGGUGCGGCCAUGAGCCGCAUCAGUACCGUAGGGAAACCGUUAAGUGUGCCGCCUGGGAAGUACGGUCGCAAGGCUAAAACUUAAAGGAAUUGGCGGGGGAGCACCACAAGGGGUGAAGCCUGCGGUUCAAUUGGACUCAACGCCGGGAAACUUACCAGGGGAGACAGCAGAAUGACAGUCAGGUUGACGACCUUACUCGACGAGCUGAGAGGAGGUGCAUGGCCGUCGCCAGUUCGUGCCGUGAGGUAUCCUGUUAAGUCAGGCAACGAACGAGAUCCGCGCCUUUAUUUGCCAUCAAGAAGUCACGACUUCGUUGGGAACACUAAAGGGACCGCCGUCGAUAAGACGGAGGAAGGAGCGGGCAAAGGCAGGUCAGUAUGCCCCGAAACCCCUGGGGCUACACGCGGGCUGCAAUGGUGCGAACAAUGGGCUGUAACUCCGAAAGGAGAAACCAAUCCCGAAAUCGCAUCUCAGUGGGGAUUGUCGACUGUAACUCGUUGACAUGAACGUGGAAUCCCUAGUAAUCGCGUGUCACCAUCGCGCGGGAAAUACGUCUCUGCU
Molecule: ribosomal RNA, 873 nt
Filed under: uncultured archaeon
Lineage: Archaea
Description: bacterial SSU rRNA
Rfam family: Archaeal small subunit ribosomal RNA
Source: RNAcentral